This is a long non-coding RNA of Spinacia oleracea (spinach), 1020 nucleotides long. RefSeq lists it as uncharacterized. The transcript has 3 exons. NCBI's taxonomy places the organism in Eukaryota, Viridiplantae, Streptophyta, Magnoliopsida, Caryophyllales, Amaranthaceae. The record is from RefSeq and is a predicted model, not a curated record.
UAAUUAAGAAAAACAUUUCAUCUCAAACCUAAGGACCAUUUCCACGCUCAGUACUCCCUCUUCUUCCCUCAGCUUUCCCUGCGUACUCUCUCACCUCCUCAUUCUUCUUCUUCUUCAUCUGCUCUCUUUCUCUCUCUAAUUCGUGGUUUUUUUGGGUUUUUUGCAAGUAAUUGUUGAAAUUGGGUGACAAUUCGUCUUGGUUUUUGUGAAAAUUUGCUCGACUCCUUCUCUCCAAGCAUCUGGCCUUCGACCUCAGCCUUCGAACUCAGCCGCCGUCGAACUCAGCCGUCGAACUCAGCAACUCAGGCGUUGCUCGGCCCUGCGUCGCUGUCUUCGCCGAUGGGUUGUUUUUCCUGGGAAAAUAUUCAUUCAAUUGAGAAACAAACAUUGUGUUCCUUUUUCAAUGGGAAGGUGGAAAAUCGGACUCCGGAUGUCUACAAGGAGAUACGGACUUGGAUUAUGAAGAGGUUUCAUGCCAAUCCAAGCACAAACAUUGAACUGAAAGAUCUGUCGGAGCUGUUUAUUGGGGAUAUAGAUGCAAGAUGUUGACAAGGCAGAGCAAAUAGACUCUUUAAUUGAAAAGUUUUAUCAGUUACAACAUAAGCAAUCCUCUGUACUAUUAGUUCCAAGAGCCAACGUGUCAACAGCGGCAGUGCCUUCAGGCCUAUUUCCGGAGUCGAUCACAGAAGAGUUGGUAGAACAAGAGGGACCUGCAGUUGAGUAUCAUUGCAACUCUUCUUCUGUUGAUUGUUCUUGCAGUUGAGCAGGUGGAGUUUCUCUGAUUUGGCUGUUAUUUCUGAGAUCUUUGUUUGAUUUUUAUUAUGCUAAGUAGACUCUUAAUUGAUUUGAGAAUCUGAAUCCUUUGUGGUUGAGUUAGACUUUGUUGUGUUUCUUCAAUUGAUAUGCAUGUUUGGACUUCUUUCUCCUUCGUCAAGAACUAUAGAUACCCAAUAUAGAUGUCAUUGUCGGUCAGGCCUAGAUAGAUGGGUGUUUUCUUGUCUUUCUGGAGUUUGGACUAGU